AAAAAGGGUCGGUUGGCCAUGUAUGCUACAUACAUCUAUUAAUUGAUCGGCGCUGUAUGGUUAUCAAGACAUAAGACAGACAUAAUUUAUGGAUGAUAUAGGGUUGGCUUGCUUGGCUAACCCUCUU
This is a small nuclear RNA of Dendrobium catenatum, 127 nucleotides long. RefSeq annotates it as U11 spliceosomal RNA. Lineage: Eukaryota; Viridiplantae; Streptophyta; Magnoliopsida; Asparagales; Orchidaceae. The record is from RefSeq and is a predicted model, not a curated record. The transcript has a single exon.